This 72-nucleotide transfer RNA is filed under the name Phrynosoma platyrhinos (Desert horned lizard). Its description in RNAcentral is "tRNA-OTHER". Lineage: Eukaryota; Metazoa; Chordata; Lepidosauria; Squamata; Phrynosomatidae. The record is from RNAcentral.
UCAGUGUUGUAUAGUGGUUUGAGUGUUGGUCUAUGACUCUGGAGACCAGGGUUCGAAUCCCUGGCUACAGAA